GUGCACCUCACCUAAUAGUUAUUGGUGACACAUGAACCAAUAAGUGGACAAUACUUUGUCCAUUACUUCACCAAGCAAGAUGCAGCAUAUUCGAUCUCUAAGUCCCGUGACCUCACCUAACAGUUAUUGGCUCAUUUCUUAGUUAAGUCAAACCCACCAUUCACCAGUGAGUGCAGAGCCAUUAUUGGAUCUCUCACCUAACAG
This 204-nucleotide long non-coding RNA is filed under the name Elaeis guineensis (African oil palm). RNAcentral's name for it is "long non-coding RNA (EGUI_LNC056971)". The record is from RNAcentral. Lineage: Eukaryota; Viridiplantae; Streptophyta; Magnoliopsida; Arecales; Arecaceae.